Zootermopsis nevadensis is the source of this 1741-nucleotide non-coding RNA. NCBI's taxonomy places the organism in Eukaryota, Metazoa, Arthropoda, Insecta, Blattodea, Termopsidae. The record is from RefSeq and is a predicted model, not a curated record.
UAUACCCCCUACCGUUCGGGUAACAUGUUAAUUGUAUUGUUUUAUUUGCAGGUAAGUGACCUUUUUCAACAUGGCGGUCUCACUGAAUCUCCACGCGGGUCUUCAAACUGUCUCUUGUCUUCUUAUUGGUCAGGACCGAAUUCUAUUAGCGGAAUCGCAUGAAUAACUUCUCGGUUGGUGCACGAUGAAUGUUCUUCUUUUGGUGAGAAGAUUAAACGCAUGGCAUGAUGAAUGGUGUGGGCUGUUGACAGUUUGAUGAUGGCUAUUUAUGAUACAGACGGAUCGCAGAACAUUUUCGUGGCUGAUGCUCCGCCCGACACCACCGGAUAUCACCGUGCACCUGAGUCCAGUUGGUCCUUUGUCGAUAUGAAUCCGUGGCGACGCAGCUUUUGCGAUGAUUGGUGAUGACGAAACAGAAGAAUUGCUACAACGCAGCACUAGAAUAUCUACCGUUCACAAGACGGGUACUACUUUAUAAACAGCCUGCAAAAAAAAAAGCUGUUCCGCAUUGGAACAAUAAGACAGUGAACAAAUUGUGUUUAGAUUUUGUGACUAGAUCGUUGCAAAUUGUGGGUAAAGUGCAAAAGGAAUUUGUGGGGGUUUAGCCGGGCAAUGAUUAUGGGAAAAACUCAUCACAAACAUUUUGUUACAUUGUGUACUUUAAGAAUGGUAACUGUACUUAAUUUCGUGUUUGAUUCUGUACUUGUGUGAAAGAUAUUUUUCAUUUAAAAUUUUAACAGGAAAUUUGAAUUCAUUCUCACAAAAGUAUAUUCAAUAUUAAGCUGUUAAAAGGUAAUAUCGUUUCCAUUCUUGUCGAUUUUGUUUCGUGUAAAGUAAAUUAAAAUAAUAUUAUGACCAUGACAUGUUUUAAUAUACCUAAGGGUAAGUGGUUCAGUAAUAACACUGGUCAUGGUAAGUGAAAACCACCUGGUUAAUAUUUUAGUUUCAAACAUAUAAUACUAAUAAGGAUUAAUUUAAAUCCAUCAGACUUGUAAAUAUUUGAAUAAAUUAGGAGUUAUGAUAUUAUGUCACUCCUCCGAAUCUAAAAUAUUUGUAUGGAUAUUCAAUUACUUCAUCCCUCGAUAUGUGAAAUAUUUGUAUGAAAUAUUCAACACAAAACAUAGAAAGCCAGGUCAGGAAGUACUAGUUCAAUAUUAUUUUAAAAUGAUACGUGGCAGAUAUCCGUUGUAUUACAAAAUGUGUACUCUCUUCUACUUGUGUGAUAAUUCAAAGUUUAUAUACGUAAAAUGAAUUCAACAGCAAACGCAUUAGUCCAGCUGAAGAUACAGCAUUGAUAUUAUUAGGUAUGUAAUUUAAGAACAACGAAGGGAAACUGGCGGAUUAAAAGUUUUCUGUGCUAUGUAUAGCAUCCUUAUCGUGUUCAUAUUGUCAUUAGCUGCAGUAGUCAUGAGAAACUUACACGAAGAGUCAGCCAUACUACUUAAUCUUAAACAGCAUUGUUGCUAUUAAUAAUAGUGAUAGGACUCAGUAUACGUAAAUAUACAAUUAAACGUCUCAGUGUUUGUUGUAUGUUGGGAAAGUCUCCCAUUCCAGUUGUGUGCUAUUUUUUGUUUACUUUUUUCUCUUGGAGAUUUGUUUUUAAAUAUAUUGUUAAAAUGUUUUUGUUGCUUACAUGUUGCUCAACGUAUACAAGUUUUUUCAACUCAUGUCAACUAUGUGUGUUAUUGUAUGUGUGUGAUUGUAAUUUAUUUUAAUAAAAAGUCACAAGUUUUGAACAUAA